CUAGAAUAGGCUCCAGCACUUCCUGUGAACCUCGUGAGGAUAAGCGAGUAAGAAAAUGAAUGGGUGGAUGGAUGAUUUUCAGAAGUUCAAACAUUCAAUUUAACCAAGCCCAGUGAAAAGCAAAAGCUCGUUCAACCUGGCUCUGGGCUCUGUCAGGAGCAGCUGGUCAGCUGACCUGAGAGAGCAGCUGGAAAUGUAGGGUUGCAAUUGCUCAGAGAGAAUGGAUGCAGGACCUGGCAUUUGUGGAUGAUGCUACAGAGCACCUGAAUAACUUCAACAGCUGCUAGGGCGCAGCUAAAUUGUUAUGCAGUAUUUUGACAGUAUAUGCUCUUCUUUCACUUGUUUAGGGAACGUGAUUAUGUUAUUUUUGUACAUAUUUCUGC
Molecule: long non-coding RNA, 383 nt
Organism: Syngnathoides biaculeatus (alligator pipefish)
Lineage: Eukaryota; Metazoa; Chordata; Actinopteri; Syngnathiformes; Syngnathidae
Exons: 3
Source: RefSeq, a predicted model, not a curated record